Molecule: ribosomal RNA, 305 nt
Filed under: uncultured bacterium
Lineage: Bacteria
Description: bacterial SSU rRNA
Rfam family: Bacterial small subunit ribosomal RNA
Source: RNAcentral
UAUCCUACGGGAGGCAGCAGUGAGGAAUAUUGGUCAAUGGCCGAGAGGCUGAACCAGCCAAGUCGCGUGAGGGAUGACGGCCCUACGGGUUGUAAACCUCUUUUGUCGGGGAGCAAAGAGAGUCACGUGUGGCUCAUUGAGAGUACCCGAAGAAAAAGCAUCGGCUAACUCCGUGCCAGCAGCCGCGGUAAUACGGAGGAUGCGAGCGUUAUCCGGAUUUAUUGGGUUUAAAGGGUGCGUAGGCGGGAUGCCAAGUCAGCGGUCAAAUACGGGGGCUCAACCUGCGUCCGCCGUUGAAACUUGCG